Molecule: ribosomal RNA, 253 nt
Filed under: uncultured bacterium
Lineage: Bacteria
Description: partial 16S ribosomal RNA
Rfam family: Bacterial small subunit ribosomal RNA
Source: RNAcentral
GACAGAGGGUGCAAACGUUGCUCGGAAUCACUGGGCGUAAAGGGCGCGUAGGCGGGCAUGUAAGUCGGGCGUGAAAUCCCCAGGCUCAACCUGGGAACUGCACUCGAAACUGCGUUUCUUGAGUAUCGGAGAGGAAAGCGGAAUUCCUGGUGUAGAGGUGAAAUUCGUAGAUAUCAGGAGGAACACCAGUGGCGAAGGCGGCUUUCUGGACGGUAACUGACGCUGAGGCGCGAAAGCGUGGGGAGCAAACAGG